RNAcentral lists this ribosomal RNA (758 nucleotides) under uncultured bacterium. Its description in RNAcentral is "bacterial SSU rRNA". It matches the Rfam family "Bacterial small subunit ribosomal RNA", at positions 86 to 829 of the family's 1533-position model. The record is from RNAcentral.
UGCCAACGAGUGGCGGACGGGUGAGUAACACGUAGGUAACCUGCCCAGAAGUGGGGGACAACAUUUGGAAACAGAUGCUAAUACCGCAUAACAGCGUUGUUCGCAUGAACAACGCUUAAAAGAUGGCUUCUCGCUAUCACUUCUGGAUGGACCUGCGGUGCAUUAGCUUGUUGGUGGGGUAACGGCCUACCAAGGCGAUGAUGCAUAGCCGAGUUGAGAGACUGAUCGGCCACAAUGGGACUGAGACACGGCCCAUACUCCUACGGGAGGCAGCAGUAGGGAAUCUUCCACAAUGGGCGCAAGCCUGAUGGAGCAACACCGCGUGAGUGAAGAAGGGUUUCGGCUCGUAAAGCUCUGUUGUUAAAGAAGAACACGUAUGAGAGUAACUGUUCAUACGUUGACGGUAUUUAACCAGAAAGUCACGGCUAACUACGUGCCAGCAGCCGCGGUAAUACGUAGGUGGCAAGCGUUAUCCGGAUUUAUUGGGCGUAAAGAGAGUGCAGGCGGUUUUCUAAGUCUGAUGUGAAAGCCUUCGGCUUAACCGGAGAAGUGCAUCGGAAACUGGAUAACUUGAGUGCAGAAGAGGGUAGUGGAACUCCAUGUGUAGCGGUGGAAUGCGUAGAUAUAUGGAAGAACACCAGUGGCGAGGGCGGCUACCUGGUCUGCAACUGACGCUGAGACUCGAGAGCAUGGGUAGCGAACAGGAUUAGAUACCCUGGUAGUCCAUGCCGUAAACGAUGAGUGCUAGGUGUUGGAGG